UUUUUUGUGGGUUGUCCCCCGGGGGAGGGGUCAUU
This 35-nucleotide ribosomal RNA is filed under the name Parabronema skrjabini. RNAcentral's name for it is "partial 18S ribosomal RNA". The record is from RNAcentral. Lineage: Eukaryota; Metazoa; Nematoda; Chromadorea; Rhabditida; Habronematidae.